GGGGAAUCUUCCGCAAUGGGCGAAAGCCUGACGGAGCAAUGCCGCGUGAAUGAAGAAGGCCUUCGGGUCGUAAAAUUCUGUCCUUAUUGAAGAGAGGUUCAUGUGUAAACAAUGCAUGAAUAGGACGGUAGAUAAGGAGGAAGCCCCGGCUAACUACGUGCCAGCAGCCGCGGUAAUACGUAGGGGGCGAGCGUUGUCCGGAAUCACUGGGCGUAAAGGGCGCGUAGGCGGCCUAGUAAGUCAGAUGUGAAAAGUGAGGGCUCAACCCUUAGAGUGCAUCUGAUACUGCUAGGCUUGAGUACAGAAGAGGAAAGCGGAAUUCCUAGUGUAGCGGUGAAAUGCGUAGAUAUUAGGAGGAACACCAGUGGCGAAGGCGGCUUUCUGGGCUGAAACUGACGCUGAGGCGCGAAAGCGUGGGGAGCAAACAGGAUUAGAUACCCUGGUAGUCCACGCCGUAAACGAUGGGUACUAGGUGUCGGGGGUAUCGAUACCCUCGGUGCCGGAGUAAACACAAUAAGUACCCCGCCUGGGGAGUACGAUCGCAAGAUUGAAACUCAAAGGAAUUGACGGGGGCCCGCACAAGCGGUGGAGCAUGUGGUUUAAUUCGACGCAACGCGAAGAACCUUACCAAGACUUGACAUCCUGCUGACGGAUUGGGUAAUGCCGAUCGUUCUACUUCGGUAGACAGCAGAGACAGGUGGUGCAUGGUUGUCGUCAGCUCGUGUCGUGAGAUGUUGGGUUAAGUCCCGCAACGAGCGCAACCCUUGUCUUUAGUUGCCAGCAUUAAGUUGGGCACUCUAAAGAGACUGCCGGUGACAAACCGGAGGAAGGUGGGGAUGACGUCAAAUCAUCAUGCCCCUUAUGUCUUGGGCUACACACGUGCUACAAUGGUCGGUACAAAGGGCAGCGAGACCGCGAGGUGGAGCGAAUCCCAAAAAGCCGAUCCCAGUUCGGAUUGCAGGCUGCAACCCGCCUGCAUGAAGUCGGAAUCGCUAGUAAUCGCAGGUCAGCAUACUGCGGUGAAUACGUUCCCG
RNAcentral lists this ribosomal RNA (1034 nucleotides) under uncultured bacterium. RNAcentral describes it as "bacterial SSU rRNA". It matches the Rfam family "Bacterial small subunit ribosomal RNA", at positions 356 to 1376 of the family's 1533-position model. The record is from RNAcentral.